CUGCCAGGAAAGCACUGGUAAAGGAUAUUCGACAAUUGUCACCUCAGCAUCAGACAUUCUCCCUGGAGGCCUACCAUUCCCUUAUUCUGCACUUUGCUCCCAAACACACUGGCUUUUCUUUUCUUGGGAUGUACAGCAGACUUCUCUUGGCAGCCCUACAUUUCAAUAGUAAUGGCAACAGAGAUGUAGCGCGAACUAGUGAGGGUGAGGUACGCUACGCUGUUCGCUACCCACGGUUUCGGAAAGGUGGCUGGGUAGUCCACCCCAUCAAGGAGAAACCAUCUUACGGAUACGCAACAAAUCUUAUGGUCUCUCUGGUAGAGGAAUACUGCAAGUCACCACAGGCCCUACAAGAAAGCAGUGCCGUCUUGUCCUCUGCUGCACCGCCCCCCCUCACCUCUUCCGUCCAGAAGGUUGCCAAGGAUGAGGCAGUCAGCCUCCAUCUCGCACGACACUCACGUUUUAACAUGUAAUAAA
Molecule: long non-coding RNA, 477 nt
Organism: Carassius carassius (crucian carp)
Lineage: Eukaryota; Metazoa; Chordata; Actinopteri; Cypriniformes; Cyprinidae
Exons: 3
Source: RefSeq, a predicted model, not a curated record